UCCCUGGUGGCUCACACGGUAAAGCAUCUGCCUGAAAUGCGGGAGACCCAGGUUUGAUCCCUGGGUUGGGAA
This 72-nucleotide transfer RNA is filed under the name Ovis aries (sheep). It matches the Rfam family "tRNA". From Rfam's summary of the family: Transfer RNA (tRNA) molecules are approximately 80 nucleotides in length. Their secondary structure includes four short double-helical elements and three loops (D, anti-codon, and T loops). The record is from Rfam by way of RNAcentral. Lineage: Eukaryota; Metazoa; Chordata; Mammalia; Artiodactyla; Bovidae.